RNAcentral lists this ribosomal RNA (253 nucleotides) under uncultured bacterium. Its description in RNAcentral is "partial 16S ribosomal RNA". It matches the Rfam family "Bacterial small subunit ribosomal RNA", at positions 524 to 776 of the family's 1533-position model. The record is from RNAcentral.
UACGUAGGGUGCGAGCGUUGUCCGGAAUUAUUGGGCGUAAAGGGCUCGUAGGCGGUUUGUCGCGUCGGGAGUGAAAACAUCCAGCUUAACUGGGGGCUUGCUUUCGAUACGGGCAGACUUGAGGUAUGCAGGGGAGAGUGGAAUUCCUGGUGUAGCGGUGAAAUGCGCAGAUAUCAGGAGGAACACCGGUGGCGAAGGCGGUUCUCUGGGCAUUACCUGACGCUGAGGAGCGAAAGUGUGGGGAGCGAACAGG